RNAcentral lists this ribosomal RNA (2097 nucleotides) under Clostridium mediterraneense. Lineage: Bacteria; Bacillati; Bacillota; Clostridia; Eubacteriales; Clostridiaceae. The record is from RNAcentral.
AGAAAAAGGUAAAUAUAUAUGUGUAAUUUUUAGAGAAUAAUUUCUCAAAAAUCUGGUGAUGAUGCUCUUUAAGGUAACACCCGUUCCCAUUCCGAACACGAAGGUUAAGCUUUUAGAGGCCGAUGGUACUGCACGGGCAGCUGUGUGGGAGAGUAGGUGGUUGCCAGGUCUAUAUAAGGUAAAAAGUACUUGUAGUAAUACAAGUACUUUUUUGCUAUAUAGAAAUUUAAUAUACCAAUAGAAGGUAGACUUAAGUUUAAAGUAGAUAAUUAUAUUUUUAAUUUACAAUGUAUAAUAACUAAUUAAUUUGCUAGUUAAUUUCAUUAAAAAUGUUUUAAAACAAAUAAACUUCACCUAGUGUAUCGAUAAAAUAAUUACAUAGAAAAGUGUAGAAAAAUAAAGAAUUAUAAAUAUAAGUUCUAAUAAAAUGAAUAAUAUAAUUUUAUCAACUAUUUUAUUAUGUUAGAAUAAGAUACGUUAAUGACACGACAUAAAACGACAAAGAAUUUAGAAAAUAAAUUUUUUAGAAGAUAAAAAAGUUAUUGACAUAACAUUAAAAAGCUGUUAAACUGAAUAAGUUGUUUAAAGGCAACUUGUUAAAAGGUCUUUGAAAAUUAAACAGAAGAAAUUAAGUAAACCAGCAAUUCUUUUUAUGUUUUAAGCUUAAGAUUAAACUUUUAAAUUGAGAGUUUGAUCCUGGCUCAGGAUGAACGCUGGCGGCGUGCCUAACACAUGCAAGUCGAGCGAUGAAGUUUCCUUCGGGNCGGAACCGAAGUAUCUGAUUCUACGCUGCCGAGAAAAGCAUCUAGAGAGAGAAGUAGUGCCCGUACCGCAAACCGACACAGGUAGGUGAGGAGAGAAUCCUAAGGCCGGCGGAUGAAUCACAGUUAAGGAACUCGGCAAAUUGACCCCGUAACUUCGGGAGAAGGGGUGCCUACGAGAGUAGGCCGCAGAGAAUAGGCCCAAUCAACUGUUUAGCAAAAACACAGGUCUCUGCUAAAGCGUAAGCUGAUGUAUAGGGGCUGACGCCUGCCCGGUGCUGGAAGGUUAAGGGGAAUGCUUAGCGCAAGCGAAGGUAUGAACUUAAGCCCCAGUAAACGGCGGCCGUAACUAUAACGGUCCUAAGGUAGCGAAAUUCCUUGUCAGGUAAGUUCUGACCCGCACGAAUGGCGUAAUGAAUUGGGCACUGUCUCAACUGUGAAUCCGGCGAAGUUGUAGUACGAGUGAAGAUGCUCGUUACCCGCGAUUGGACGGAAAGACCCCGUAGAGCUUUACUGUAGCUUAGCAUUGAAUUUUGGUAUUGUCUGUACAGGAUAGGUGGGAGACUGAGAAACUAGGUCGUCAGACUUGGUGGAGUCGUCCUUGGGAUACCACCCUGACAUUACUGAAGUUCUAACUGGCGGCCAUGAAUCUGGUCACAGGACAUUGUUAGGUGGGCAGUUUGACUGGGGCGGUCGCCUCCUAAAAAGUAACGGAGGCGCCCAAAGGUUCCCUCAGAACGGUCGGAAAUCGUUCGUAGAGUGCAAAGGCAUAAGGGAGCCUGACUGCGAGACAUACAGGUCGAGCAGGGACGAAAGUCGGGCUUAGUGAUCCGGUGGUACCUCGUGGGAGGGCCAUCGCUCAACGGAUAAAAGCUACCUCGGGGAUAACAGGCUGAUCUCCCCCAAGAGUUCACAUCGACGGGGAGGUUUGGCACCUCGAUGUCGGCUCGUCGCAUCCUGGGGCUGAAGUAGGUCCCAAGGGUUGGGCUGUUCGCCCAUUAAAGCGGCACGCGAGCUGGGUUCAGAACGUCGUGAGACAGUUCGGUCCCUAUCCGUCGCGGGCGUAGGAAAUUUGAGAGGAGCUGUCCUUAGUACGAGAGGACCGGGAUGGACUGACCUCUGGUGCACCAGUUGUUCUGCCAAGAGCAUAGCUGGGUAGCUAAGUCGGGAAGGGAUAAAUACUGAAAGCAUCUAAGUAUGAAGCCCCCCUCAAGAUGAGAUUUCCCAUAGCGUAAGCUAGUAAGUUCCCUUCGAGAACAGGAGGUUGAUAGGUCAGAGGUGUACGCAUGGUAACAUGUUUAGCUGACUGAUACUAAUAGAACGAGGGCUUGACCAA